This 153-nucleotide ribosomal RNA is filed under the name uncultured fungus. RNAcentral's name for it is "5.8S ribosomal RNA". It matches the Rfam family "5.8S ribosomal RNA". From Rfam's summary of the family: 5.8S ribosomal RNA (5.8S rRNA) is a component of the large subunit of the eukaryotic ribosome. It is transcribed by RNA polymerase I as part of the 45S precursor that also contains 18S and 28S rRNA. Lineage: Eukaryota; Fungi. The record is from RNAcentral.
CAACUUUCAGCAACGGAUCUCUUGGCUCUCGCAUCGAUGAAGAACGCAGCGAAAUGCGAUAAGUAAUGUGAAUUGCACAAUUCAGUGAAUCAUCGAAUCUUUGAACGCACCUUGCGCCCUUUGGCUAUUCCGAAGGGCAUGCCUUGUUUGAGU